CGUACCGUACACGCUCCUGUGCCUGUGUUCUUGCACUUUUUUCCGUUGGAUUUCUCUACUAUAUUCUUGAAUUUGUUCUUUUCCACCGUCCUCCCUGCCGUGCAGCCCCCCCACUAAAUCGGAUCACACACUCGAGUCGCUUGUCGUUCAUGAAUGUCUGGUGUCUAAAAUUCUACACGCCCGGAAUUCAUCGAGACCCAAAACCGGAUUACAUCUACCGUGCGGCUACUGUGAACAGAAUCUCCAAAUCUUUUGGCUCGACAAUGCGCUACUGUUGCCUCUCAUCCUUCCCGUCCCAGUACCAAAGGUGUACAAUGUCGCAGAAGAAAAAUUGCCUCUAUGCAAAGGGCUACAGUUGCUGAGAGUGACGGCGUGUCCCCCGCUUUGUAUCCUCAAUGUCAGACCAGCAGUGCAGCUCUCUCACCAAAAAAGCGGCUCACACAGACGCACGAUCAUUUGCAUAUUCAAAGUAUACCAAACGAGCAACACAUGUUUGCCUGUUAUUUUCCCCCUUUCUUUUUUUUUUCCCUUAUUCCCGUCCCAACAACUCGAAGCACUUGAACACUUGAAAAAGUUGGCUGAAUAAAAGAAAAUAAAAAAUGAA
This is a long non-coding RNA of Daphnia magna, 604 nucleotides long. RefSeq lists it as uncharacterized. The transcript is spliced from 3 exons. Lineage: Eukaryota; Metazoa; Arthropoda; Branchiopoda; Diplostraca; Daphniidae. The record is from RefSeq and is a predicted model, not a curated record.